AUGGCCAGGGCCGCCGACUACUACUCCCUCCUCCAGAGCUGCAUGGGCUGCUUCCGGCAGGGCAGGUCCAUCCACCACAGGCUCCUCGCGUCCGCCUCUCCCCCGGACCUGCACCUCAGCACCAAGCUCGUCCUCUUCUACGCCAAGCACGGCGACGUGGCCACCGCCCGCAGGGUGUUCGACGGAAUGCCGCACCGGAGCGUCGUGUCCUGGACGGCCAUGGUCUCGGGCUACUCCAGGAACGGCCGCCCCCGGGAGGCGCUGGAGCUGUUCGCCCUCAUGCACACGUCCGGCGAUGCCAGGCUGAACCAGUUCACGUAUGGCAGUGUGGCCUGUGCGUGCGCGGCGGCUGGGUGCGUGAGGAGCGGGGAGCAGGUGCACGCGUGCGCGGCCAAGGGGAGGUUCGCGGGGGACAUGUUCGUGCAGAGCGCUCUCAUGGACAUGUACCUGAGGUGUGGGUCGGUGGAGAAUGCGAGGCGGAUGUUUGCGGCGAUGGAGAGGAAGGAUGUAGUUUCGUGGAAUGCCUUGCUCAGGGGUUUUGUGGAGCGUGGGCAUUGCAGUGACGCGCUUGGGUUGUUAUCCUCAAUGCUGAGAGAAGAAAUGCUGCCUGACCACUUCACAUUUGGAAGUGCUCUAAAAGCUUGUGGAGCAGUCAGUGUGCUCACUAACACGGAGUUGAUUCACACCUGUAUAAUAAAGUUGGGCUACUGGGGUGAAAAGGUUGUUAUUGGAUCACUUAUUGAUGCUUAUGCAAAAUGUCGGAGCAUGAGAAGUGCACGAGUGAUAUAUGACUCCAUAUGUGAUCCAGACCUUGUGUCAUCUACUGCGCUGAUCAGUGGGUACUCCAUGGAUAAAAAUCAUGCUGAAGAUGCGAUGGAGCUCUUCUGCAAGAUUUAUCGUAGGGGUUUGAGGAUUGAUGGUGUUCUGUUAAGCUCCUUGCUUGGCCUUUGUGCUAAUGUGUCAUGUCUCAGAUUUGGGACACAGAUUCAUGCUUACAUGUGCAAAAAGCAGCCAAUGGGAGAUGUGGCAUUGGAGAACGCUCUAGUUGAUAUGUAUGCAAAAGCAGGAGAAUUUUCAGAUGCCAGGCGUGCUUUUGAUGAAAUGCCCUGCCGAAAUGUGGUUUCAUGGACUUCACUCAUUACUGCCUGUGGGAAAAAUGGUUUUGGGGGAGAUGCUGUGAGCCUUUUUGAGAGGAUGUUGGAGGAUGGUGUGAAGCCAAACGACGUGACAUUCCUUUCUCUUCUGUCUGCUUGUGGUCAUUCUGGUCUGACAAGCAAAGGGAUGGAGUAUUUCACUUCCAUGAUGAGCAAGUACGGUAUUGAUCCAAGAGCUGAGCAUUACAGUUCUGCUAUCGACCUUCUUGGCCGUGGAGGUCAGUUAGAGGAUGCGUGGAAGCUAGUGCAGAAUGUGGAUACUGAACCCAACUCGUCAAUAUUGGGCGCUAUGCUUGGAGCUUGUAAAACGCAUGGAAACAUGCCACUUGGAGAAACUGCAGCCAAGAAUCUUUUCAGUAAAGGUGCUGAGAGUUCUGUACACUAUACCGUGCUUGCAAACAUGUAUGCAGAAUCUAAUUUAUGGGAGGAUGCUCAAAGUACAAGGAAAUUAAUGGCUGAAACUUCUGGUGGCAAGGAAGCUGGUUGCAGUGUCCUCUGA
Molecule: ribosomal RNA, 1653 nt
Filed under: Triticum aestivum (bread wheat)
Lineage: Eukaryota; Viridiplantae; Streptophyta; Magnoliopsida; Poales; Poaceae
Description: partial small subunit ribosomal RNA
Source: RNAcentral